CUACGGGAGCAGCAGUGGGGAAUAUUGCACAAUGGAGGAAACUCUGAUGCAGCAACGCCGCGUGGAGGAUGACACUUUUCGGAGCGUAAACUCCUUUUAUAUAGGAAGAUAAUGACGGUACUAUAUGAAUAAGCACCGGCUAACUCCGUGCCAGCAGCCGCGGUAAUACGGAGGGUGCAAGCGUUACUCGGAAUCACUGGGCGUAAAGAGCGUGUAGGCGGAUAGAUAAGUCAGGAGUGAAAUCCUAUGGCUCAACCAUAGAACUGCUCUUGAAACUGUCUAUCUAGAAUAUGGGAGAGGUAGAUGGAAUUUCUGGUGUAGGGGUAAAAUCCGUAGAGAUCAGAAGGAAUACCGAUUGCGAAGGCGAUCUACUGGAACAUUAUUGACGCUGAGACGCGAAAGCGUGGGGAGCAAACAGGAUUAGAUACCCGCGUAGUC
This 438-nucleotide ribosomal RNA is filed under the name uncultured bacterium. Its description in RNAcentral is "partial 16S ribosomal RNA". It matches the Rfam family "Bacterial small subunit ribosomal RNA", at positions 339 to 795 of the family's 1533-position model. The record is from RNAcentral.